This 533-nucleotide ribosomal RNA is filed under the name Ozirhincus longicollis. RNAcentral describes it as "partial 16S ribosomal RNA". Lineage: Eukaryota; Metazoa; Arthropoda; Insecta; Diptera; Cecidomyiidae. The record is from RNAcentral.
GGUUUUUAUAUUUUAUUAAAAAUUUAACCUGCCAAUUGAAUUAAAUUUAAAAGGCCGCAGUAUUUUGACUGUGCUAAGGUAGCAUAAUCAUUAGAUUUAUAAUUGAAAUCUAGAAUGAAUGGUUUAAUGAAACAAAAUCUUUUUUAAUUUAAAUAAUUGAAUUUUUUUUUUUAGUUAAAAAACUAAAAUAUUUUUAUGGGACGAGAAGACCCUAUAGAAUUUUAUAUUUAUUAAAUUAAAUAAUAAUUUAUAAAUUAAUUAUAGUAUUUUACAAUAUUUUAUUGGGGUGAUAAAUAAAUUUAGUUAACUUUAAAUUUUUUAUCAAUAAUUUUUGUUAAAUUGAUCUUUUUUUAUUGAUUAAAAGUUUAAAUUACCUUAGGGAUAACAGCAUAAUUUUAUUAAGAAGUUCUUAUUUUUAAUAUUGUUUAUGACCUCGAUGUUGAAUUAAAUAAAAUUAUUAUAUGAAGAUAUAUAAAAAAUAAGUCUGUUCGACUUUUAAUUAUUUACAUGAUUUGAGUUCAAACCGGUGUAAG